Molecule: ribosomal RNA, 775 nt
Filed under: uncultured bacterium
Lineage: Bacteria
Description: bacterial SSU rRNA
Rfam family: Bacterial small subunit ribosomal RNA
Source: RNAcentral
AGAGUUUGAUCCUGGCUCAGAACGAACGCUGGCGGCGUGGAUUAGGCAUGCAAGUCGAACGAUAGGGACCUUUCGGGGUCCUGAAAGUGGCAAACGGGUGAGUAACGCGUGGGAAACCUGCCCUUGUGCUGGGGAUAACACUCCUAACGGGGUGCUAAUACCGAAUACGAUUCCCGGGUCGCAUGGCCUGGGAAUGAAAGGCGGCCUCUGCUUGCAAGCUGUCGCACAAGGAUGGUCCCGCGUCCCAUUAGCUAGUUGGUAGGGUAACGGCCUACCAAGGCUGUGAUGGGUAGCCGGCCUUAGCGGGUGUCCGGCCACACUGGGACUGAGAUACGGCCCAGACUCCUACGGGAGGCAGCAGUCGAGAGGCUUCUACAAUGGGGGAAACCCUGAUAGAGCGACGCCGCGUGGGUGAUGAAGGUCUUCGGAUCGUAAAGCCCUUUCAGUAGGGAAGAAGGUGACAGGCGCUAAUAUCGUCUGUUGCAAGACGGUACCUACAGAAGAAGCUCCGGCUAACUCCGUGCCAGCAGCCGCGGUAAGACGGAGGGAGCAAGCGUUGUUCGGAUUUACUGGGCGUAAAGGGCGUCUAGGCGGGCCAGCCAGUCAGGUGUGAAACCCCCCGGCUCAGCCGGGGAUCUGCACUUGAUACUGCUGGUCUUGAGUACGAAAGAGUAGCGACUUCCUGGUGUAGCGGUGAAAUGCGUAGAUUCAGAAGAACACCGGUGGCGAGCGCUUCUGUCGAUACUGACGCUAAGCGCGAGUGUGGGGAGCAAAC